CGCCUGUUUAACAAAAACAUGUCUUACUGAUAAUAAUUUUUAGUAAAAUCUGCCCAAUGAUAAUAUUUAAUGGCUGCAGUAUAAAUAACUGUACAAAGGUAGCAUAAUAAUUAGUUUUUUAAUUGAAAACUAGAAUGAAAGAUUUAAUGAAAUAUAAUCUAUAUAAAUUAAAAAAAAAAUUAAAAUUAAAUUUUAAGUUAAAAUUCUUAAAUAUAAUUAAAAGACGAGAAGACCCUUUAGAAUUUAAUUAAUUAAAUUAUUAAUAUUUUUAUAAUAUAAAAUUAAAUAAAGUGAUUAAUUUAAUUGGGGUAAUUUUAAAAUUAAAAAAACUUUUAAAUAAAAAAACAUUUAUCUAUGAAUAAAUAAACCUAAAAUUUAGAUAUUUUAAAAUAAUUACCUUAGGGAUAACAGCGUAA
RNAcentral lists this ribosomal RNA (416 nucleotides) under Monoctonus crepidis. RNAcentral describes it as "partial 16S ribosomal RNA". Lineage: Eukaryota; Metazoa; Arthropoda; Insecta; Hymenoptera; Braconidae. The record is from RNAcentral.